RNAcentral lists this ribosomal RNA (465 nucleotides) under uncultured bacterium. RNAcentral describes it as "partial 16S ribosomal RNA". It matches the Rfam family "Bacterial small subunit ribosomal RNA", at positions 28 to 507 of the family's 1533-position model. The record is from RNAcentral.
GAUGAACGCUGGCGGCGUGCUUAACACAUGCAAGUCGAACGGAAAGGCUCCUGCUUGCAGGGGUACUCGAGUGGCGAACGGGUGAGUAACACGUGGGUGAUCUGCCCUGCACUUCGGGAUAAGCCUGGGAAACUGGGUCUAAUACCGGAUAGGACCACAUUUUGGAUGGUGUGGUGGAAAGUUUUUCGGUGGGGGAGGAGCUCGCGGCCGAUCAGCUUGUUGGUGGGGGAAUGGCCUACCAAGGCGUCGACGGGUAGCCGGCCUGAGAGGGUGUACGGCCACAUUGGGACUGAGAUACGGCCCAGACUCCUACGGGAGGCAGCAGUGGGGAAUAUUGCACAAUGGGCGCAAGCCUGAUGCAGCGACGCCGCGUGGGGGAUGACGGCCUUCGGGUUGUAAACUCCUUUCGCUAGGGACGAAGCGCAAGUGACGGUACCUGGAGAAGAAGCACCGGCUAACUACGUG